AGAUAAAGUAAGUGCUCUUUGGGCUAGCAGGAUCUCCUCUUGUAGUCUGCAGCCCAGGACGCUGAUUCCAGCAGCGCCUUACCGCGGAACCCGAAGAUUCACUAUGGUGAAAAUCGCCUUCAAUACCCCCACCGCCGUGCAAAAGGAGGAGGCGCGGCAAGACGUGGAGGCCCUCCUGAGCCGCACGGUCAGAACUCAGAUACUGACCGGCAAGAGCACCAUUUACCGUGGAGAGAUGUGCUUUUUUGAUUCUGAGGAUCCUGCAAAUUCCCUUCGUGGAGGAGAGGCUAACUUCCUGCCUGUGACUGAGGAGGCUGACAUUCGUGAGGAUGACAACAUUGCAAUCAUUGAUGUGCCUGUCCCCAGUUUCUCGGAUAGUGACCCUGCAGCAAUUAUUCAUGACUUUGAAAAGGGAAUGACUGCUUACCUGGACUUGUUGCUGGGGAACUGCUAUCUGAUGCCCCUCAAUACUUCUAUUGUUAUGCCUCCAAAAAAUCUGGUAGAGCUCUUUGGCAAACUGGCG
Molecule: small RNA, 523 nt
Filed under: Pongo abelii (Sumatran orangutan)
Lineage: Eukaryota; Metazoa; Chordata; Mammalia; Primates; Hominidae
Description: processed transcript
Source: RNAcentral